This 204-nucleotide long non-coding RNA is filed under the name Lathyrus oleraceus (garden pea). RNAcentral describes it as "Pisum sativum (pea) long non-coding RNA (PSAT_LNC005405)". The record is from RNAcentral. Lineage: Eukaryota; Viridiplantae; Streptophyta; Magnoliopsida; Fabales; Fabaceae.
AAACUUAUUAAAACAAUUAGCCCAAAUUCAAACUAAAUAGUAGAAGAAAUCUGAUUAAUUAAUUUGGAUAUUUGGACAAAGAAACAAAAAUAAAAAUGAUUGAUUACGAAUAAAAGUCGGGAAAAAAUUCGCUCGAAAAAUUAAAUCGGAUGCACUAAAAUGAUCAACACGAAAUAUACUUAUUGAAAAAAUACAACGUUUCUU